This is a non-coding RNA of Scomber japonicus (chub mackerel), 573 nucleotides long. NCBI's taxonomy places the organism in Eukaryota, Metazoa, Chordata, Actinopteri, Scombriformes, Scombridae. The record is from the annotation of a RefSeq genome assembly.
AUGUCGAAGGCAGAAAGGGAGAUGGGAUUGUUGCUCGCUAAUGCCCAAAGAGAAGCAUCAAAGGACGGGAGUCUGAAUGUGGAAAAAACAAAGGAGAUUGUGGUGAACCACAGGAGGAACAAGUCCCCACCUUCUCCUGUCUGCAUCAAUGGGAGCGCUGGAGACAUUGUGGAACAGUACAAGUAUCUGGGCUUUGUAUCACUGUGGUACACGUUCGGUGGAGGAACCAGACUGGAUGUUGGAAGUGAUGUCCGUCCCACCCUGACGGUGCUGCCCCCCUCCAGCCAGGAGCUGCAGCAAGGGAAGGCCACGCUCACAUGUCUGGCCAACAAGGGCUUCCCCUCAGACUGGAGUCUGGCCUGGAAGGUGGACGGCAGCAGCAGCAGCAGCAGCUGGGAGCAGAGCAGGAGCCCCGGGGUGCUGCAGGAGGAUGGCCGCUACAGCUGGAGCAGCACCCUGAGGCUCACUGCAGACCAGUGGGGGAAGGUGGGCUCUGUGACCUGUGAGGCCACCCAGGGCUCCCAGACUCCACUCUCAGAGACACUGAGGAGAGACCAGUGUUCUCAGUCCUGA